AAAAACUUGCAAUUAUUGAAAAUCAUUUUAAAACCCUGUGUCACUUAAGUCAAUAUGGAAUAUGUGAUGGUAGAGUAUGAGUUUCUUAUUCUUGAUAUCAUUGCUACUUGGGGAAUUUAUUUCAAAAUAAAAUUCUAGCUACCAUCCUUAGUGUUUUAUGCCUGAUAAGACUGAAAAUAUUAAUUAUGAUUAUAAAAGCUAUCUACUCUGUAUUGAGUUUGUUCAAAAUGAGUUAGACCCUUGUUGAGAGAUUUAUCAUGCUCCUAAGAUCAAGACAUUAUUUCAGAAAGAUUCACUCUUCCGAAGUAUUAUUGCAUUAGAGGCAUGGGCAAUGCAAAAAUAGAAAUAUUUCGAGGAAAUAAAAAGGAGCAAGUGCUCGACAACCUCGCAGAAAAAAUGGACAAGUGUCUGGCAGUAGAAUUAGGGGUACCUCAGUAUCCACUUAAAAAAAAGAGAGAAGAGAAAAGAGAAAAAAAUGAUAGUCCAUGGUCCCUCUAAUAAGCAAUAUGCCAGCAAGAGUUGACAAAGAUUUUAAUUUCCAAAGUCUUUGAUCUAAGAGUAUGACAUUCCCCUCCUCGGAUCCCGUUUUGAUCAGGCAAUAAAUGCAAAGUAAGUAUGCUUGAGAAUUUUUGCAAAAAUAAAACAGCCUCAGUGAGAUAUAUAUAAAAGAUAAUGAGUGAUCUGAGAGAACCUAUGAGGAUCAAAGGUAUGCUAACUUUCUUUCAAAAAAAAUAUACAAAAAGCUCCAAGUGACAGGAUUGAGAAGAAAGGAUCUUUACUCUUGAUCAUAAACUUCCCUGACUAUGGUACACAGUGGAAUUUUUAAACACCCUGCAAUUAUAAAGAGAAUGUUUUAAAUGUUUACCCC
This 868-nucleotide long non-coding RNA is filed under the name Sorghum bicolor (sorghum). Its description in RNAcentral is "long non-coding RNA (SBIC_LNC000914)". Lineage: Eukaryota; Viridiplantae; Streptophyta; Magnoliopsida; Poales; Poaceae. The record is from RNAcentral.